GAAUUUUGGACAAUGGGGGGAAGCCUGAUGCAGCAACGCCGCGUGAGGGAUGACGGCCUUCGGGUUGUAAACUGCUUUUAACGGGGGAUAAAACGCUCAUGCGUGAGUGAUUGAAGGUACCCGUUGAAUAAGCCACGGCUAACUACGUGCCAGCAGCCGCGGUAAUACGUAGGUGGCGAGCGUUGUCCGGAUUUAUUGGGUUUAAAGGGUGCGUAGGCGGCCUUGUAAGUCAGUUCUGAAAUAUCCCGGCUUAACCGGGAGGGUGGGAUUGAUACUGCAGGGUUUGAGUGGAGUCGAGGUAGGCGGAAUUGACGGUGUAGCGGUGAAAUGCUUAGAUAUCGUCAAGAACACCGAUAGUGUAGACAGCUUACUAGACUUCAACUGACGCUGAGGCACGAAAGUGUGGGGAUCAA
This 413-nucleotide ribosomal RNA is filed under the name uncultured bacterium. Its description in RNAcentral is "bacterial SSU rRNA". It matches the Rfam family "Bacterial small subunit ribosomal RNA", at positions 359 to 771 of the family's 1533-position model. The record is from RNAcentral.